Molecule: ribosomal RNA, 254 nt
Filed under: uncultured bacterium
Lineage: Bacteria
Description: partial 16S ribosomal RNA
Rfam family: Bacterial small subunit ribosomal RNA
Source: RNAcentral
UACGUAGGGUCCAAGCGUUGUCCGGAUUUAUUGGGCGUAAAGAGCUCGUAGGCGGCUCAGUAAGUCGGAUGUGAAAACUCGGGGCUCAACCCCGAGACGCCAUCCGAUACUGCUGUGGCUUGAGUCUGGUAGGGGAACACGGAAUUCCUGGUGUAGCGGUGAAAUGCGCAGAUAUCAGGAGGAACACCGAUGGCGAAGGCAAUCCCCUGGACCUGUACUGACGCUCAUGCACGAAAGCGUGGGGAGCAAACAGG